GACGAACGCUGGCGGCGUGCUUAACACAUGCAAGUCGAGCGGUAAGGCCCUUUCGGGGGUACACGAGCGGCGAACGGGUGAGUAACACGUGGGUGACCUGCCCUCAGCUCUGGGAUAAGCCUGGGAAACCGGGUCUAAUACUGGAUAUGACUCCAUGACGCAUGUUGUGGGGUGGAAAGCCUUGUGCGGCUGAGGAUGGGCCCGCGGCCUAUCAGCUUGUUGGUGGGGUGANGGCCUACCAAGGCGACGACGGGUAGCCGGCCUGAGAGGGCGACCGGCCACACUGGGACUGAGACACGGCCCAGACUCCUACGGGAGGCAGCAGUGGGGAAUCUUGCGCAAUGGGCGAAAGCCUGACGCAGCGACGCCGCGUGAGGGAUGACGGCUCGG
RNAcentral lists this ribosomal RNA (390 nucleotides) under uncultured bacterium. Its description in RNAcentral is "bacterial SSU rRNA". It matches the Rfam family "Bacterial small subunit ribosomal RNA", at positions 28 to 419 of the family's 1533-position model. The record is from RNAcentral.